Molecule: ribosomal RNA, 389 nt
Filed under: uncultured bacterium
Lineage: Bacteria
Description: partial 16S ribosomal RNA
Rfam family: Bacterial small subunit ribosomal RNA
Source: RNAcentral
CCUACGGGAGGCAGCAGUGAGGAAUAUUGGUCAAUGGGCGGAAGCCUGAACCAGCCAAGUAGCGUGCAGGAUGACGGCCCUACGGGUUGUAAACUGCUUUUAUACGGGAAUAACGCGCCUUACGUGUAGGGCUUUGCAUGUACCGUAUGAAUAAGGACCGGCUAAUUCCGUGCCAGCAGCCGCGGUAAUACGGAAGGUCCGGGCGUUAUCCGGAUUUAUUGGGUUUAAAGGGAGCGUAGACCGCUUGUCAAGCGUGCUGUGAAAUGUCGGGGCUCAACCGGGACAUUGCAGGGGAUACUGGCAGCCGGUAGUACAGUGGAGGCAGGAGGAAUGAGCGGUGUGUCGGUGAAAGGCUUAGAGGUGACGAAGAACGCUGAUUGCGAAGGCAG